AUUGAACGCUGGCGGCAUGCCUUACACAUGCAAGUCGAACGGCAGCACGGGAGCAAUCCUGGUGGCGAGUGGCGAACGGGUGAGUAAAGUAUCGGAACGUGCCCAGUCGUGGGGGAUAACGUAGCGAAAGUUACGCUAAUACCGCAUACGAUCUAUGGAUGAAAGCGGGGGAUCGCAAGACCUUGCGAGAUUGGAGCGGCCGAUAUCAGAUUAGGUAGUUGGUGGGGUAAAGGCUCACCAAGCCGACGAUCUGUAGCUGGUCUGAGAGGACGACCAGCCACACUGGGACUGAGACACGGCCCAGACUCCUACGGGAGGCAGCAGUGGGGAAUUUUGGACAAUGGGCGAAAGCCUGAUCCAGCCAUGCCGCGUGCAGGAUGAAGGCCUUCGGGUUGUAAACUGCUUUUGUACGGAACGAAAAGGUUUGGGCUAAUAAGCUGAGCUCAUGACGGUACCGUAAGAAUAAGCACCGGCUAACUACGUGCCAGCCGCCGCCGUAA
Molecule: ribosomal RNA, 500 nt
Filed under: uncultured bacterium
Lineage: Bacteria
Description: partial 16S ribosomal RNA
Rfam family: Bacterial small subunit ribosomal RNA
Source: RNAcentral